CCUACGGGAGGCAGCAGUGGGGAAUAUUGCACAACGGGGGAAACCCUGAUGCAGCAACGCCGCGUGAGUGAAGAAGUACUUCGGUAUGUAAAGCUCUGUCAGCAGGGAAGAAAAUGACGGUACCUGACCAAGAAGCCCCGGCUAACUACGUGCCAGCAGCCGCGGUAAUACGUAGGGGGCAAGCGUUAUCCGGAUUUACUGGGGGUAAAGGGAGCGUAGACGGCAAGGCAAGUCUGGAGUGAAAGGCCGUGGCUAAACCACGGGACUGCUUUGGAAACUGUGUUGCUGGAGUGCAGGAGGGGUAAGCGGAAUUCGUAGUGUAGCGGUGAAAUGCGUAGAUAUUAGGAAGAACACCGAGUGCGAAGGCAGUUCACUGGACUGUAACUGACGGUGAGGCUCGAAGGCGUGGGGAUCAAACAGGAUUAGAUACCCGUGUAGUC
RNAcentral lists this ribosomal RNA (440 nucleotides) under uncultured bacterium. RNAcentral describes it as "partial 16S ribosomal RNA". It matches the Rfam family "Bacterial small subunit ribosomal RNA", at positions 338 to 795 of the family's 1533-position model. The record is from RNAcentral.